GUGGGGAAUAUUGGACAAUGGGGGGAACCCUGAUCCAGCCAUGCCGCGUGUGUGAAGAAGGCCUUUUGGUUGUAAAGCACUUUAAGCGAGGAGGAGGCUACCGAGAUUAAUACUCUUGGAUAGUGGACGUUACUCGCAGAAUAAGCACCGGCUAACUCUGUGCCAGCAGCCGCGGUAAUACAGAGGGUGCAAGCGUUAAUCGGAUUUACUGGGCGUAAAGCGCGCGUAGGUGGCCAAUUAAGUCAAAUGUGAAAUCCCAGAGCUUAACUUGGGAAUUGCAUUCGAUACUGGUUGGCUAGAGUAUGGGGGAGGAUGGUAGAAUUCCAGGUGUAGCGGUGAAAUGCGUAGAGAUCUGGAGGAAUACCGAUGGCGAAGGCAGCCAUCUGGCCUAAUACUGACACUGAGGUGCGAAAGCAUGGGGAGCAAACAGGAUUAGAUACCCUUGUAGUCC
RNAcentral lists this ribosomal RNA (451 nucleotides) under uncultured bacterium. RNAcentral describes it as "partial 16S ribosomal RNA". It matches the Rfam family "Bacterial small subunit ribosomal RNA", at positions 354 to 796 of the family's 1533-position model. The record is from RNAcentral.